RNAcentral lists this ribosomal RNA (1501 nucleotides) under Chloroflexota bacterium. Its description in RNAcentral is "bacterial SSU rRNA". It matches the Rfam family "Bacterial small subunit ribosomal RNA". Lineage: Bacteria; Bacillati; Chloroflexota. The record is from RNAcentral.
UUGAGAGUUUGAUCCUGGCUCAGGAUGAACGCUGGCGGCGUGCUUUAGGUAUGCAAAUCGAUCGCUACGCUCAUGCGCAAGCACUGAACGUAGAGAGGUGGACGGGUGAGUAACGCGCAGGAAUCUAAUCUUUGGUUGAGAAUAGCUCGCCGAAAGGCGAGGUAAUACUGGAUAAGCCACGUUCAGUUACAUGAACGUGGGAAAGACCGUAACUGGUCGCCGAAGGAUGAGCCUGUGUCCUAUCAGCUUGUUGGUGGGGUAAUGGCCUACCAAGGCGAUGACGGGUAGCUGGAGUGAGAGCUCGGUCAGCCACAAGGGCACUGAGACACGGGCCCUACGUCUACGGACGGCUGCAAUCGGGAAUUGUUCGCAAUGGGGGAAACCCUGACGACGCGACGCCGCGUGAAGGAUGAAGGCCUUCGGGUUGUAAACUUCUUUUACCCGCCAUAACGGCGGGGGAAUAAGCCGCUACUAACUACGUGCCAGAAGUCUCGGUAAGGCGUAGGCGGCAAGCGUUAUCCGGAUUUAUUGGGCGUAAAGAGUUUUGUAGGCGGUUGCCAUAAUUUUGUCUUAAAUCCUCUGGCUUAACUAGAGAAAUGGGCAGAAAAUUGGGCGACUUGACCGUUAGGGGGAAGACCGGAACUUGCAGUGGAGGGGUGAAAUCCGUUGAGAUUGCAAGGAACACCAAGGGCGAAGGCAGGUCUUUAACUAACUGGUGACGCUGAGGAACGAAAGCUUGGGGAGCGAAAGGGAUUAGAGACCCCUGUAGUCCAAGCUGUAAACAAUGCCCGCUAGAUGUUCCCCUCCGAUUCGGAGGGGGGUGUCGAAGCUAACGCAUUAAGCGGGCCGCCUGGGGAGUACGGCCGCAAGGCUGAAACUCAAAGGAAUUGGCGGGGACCUGCACAACCAGGGGAGCGUGUGGUUUAAUUCGAGACGAAGCGAAGAACCUUACCUGGGCUUGAAACCUCGACGUUCUAGUCCCGAGAAAUCGGGAUAAGUCCGUAAGGAGGUCGAGAUCAGCUGCUGCAUGGCUGUCGUCAGCUCUAGGCGUGAGCUGUAGGCUUAAGUGCCUCAUAGAGCGCAACCCCCGCCCCGUGUUAAAUAAUCACGGGGGACGGUCCCCUGCUUAGCAGGGGAAGGAAGGAGGGGAUGAUGUCAAGUCAGCACGGUGCUUAUGUCCAGGGCCACACACACACUACAAUGGACGAUAACAAUGAGUUGCGACCCGGCAACGGGAAGCUAAACCCUUAAAUUCGUCCUCAGUUGGGAUUGAGGGCUGCAAUUCGCCCUCAUGAACCCGGACUUGGUAGUAAUCGCGGAUCAGCAAGCCGCGGUGAAUACGUUCUCAGGUCUUGCACACACUGCCCGUCAGUCCAGCAAAGCUGGGAGUAGCCGAAGCCCUCCGAUUCGGAGGGUUAAGCUGAGCUCAGUGAUGAGGGACAAGUCGUAACAAGGUAUCCGUACUGGAAGGUGUGGAUGGAUCACCUCCUUUCUAAAGGAG